Molecule: ribosomal RNA, 383 nt
Filed under: Cyclodius paumotensis
Lineage: Eukaryota; Metazoa; Arthropoda; Malacostraca; Decapoda; Xanthidae
Description: partial 12S ribosomal RNA
Source: RNAcentral
UUAGAUACCCUAUUAUACUGGUAAAAUCUUAAAUUAUUAAUAGAUAUAAUCUUUAAAUUUGAAGAAUUUGGCGGUGGUUUAGUCUUGUUAGAGGAACCUGUUUUUGAAUCGAUACUCCACGUAAAAUUUUACUUAUUUUAUUAGUUUGUAUACCGUCAUUAUCAGAUAAUUUUCAAAGAAUUAAUUAUUAAGAUCUCUCUUAGUAUGAAAAUUAAAUUAGAUCAAGGUGCAGCUUAUAGAUAAGUUAAAAUGGGUUACAAUAAAAUUUAUUUAAAUGGAAUAAUAAAAGGAAGUUGUAUUAUGAAGGCGGAUUUAAUUGUAAUGGAAAUUUAAUAAGUUUCAAAAAUAUAAGCUCUAAAUCAUGUACAUAUCGCCCGUCGCUA